AUGAAUUAUGAAGAAAUGACAAUUUUAUAAAAUUGUCAUUUCUUCAUCGGUGAUAGCCCCCACCGAUUUUAAA
RNAcentral lists this transfer RNA (73 nucleotides) under Vannella croatica. RNAcentral's name for it is "tRNA-Asp". Lineage: Eukaryota; Discosea; Flabellinia; Vannellidae. The record is from RNAcentral.